Gossypium raimondii (Peruvian cotton) is the source of this 143-nucleotide non-coding RNA. NCBI's taxonomy places the organism in Eukaryota, Viridiplantae, Streptophyta, Magnoliopsida, Malvales, Malvaceae. The record is from Rfam.
UGUUAAAUCUAUAUUCAUUUUCAUUAUUAAAAACUAGCGUGCUUGACAGAAAAUUAGAUAAUUAUAAUUAGAGUGCCAUGUGUACUUCAUAAUGGUGUACAACUAUCAAUUUUUAACGGUAGAAGUUGAUGAAACAUUUAAUA